Molecule: long non-coding RNA, 2552 nt
Organism: Papaver somniferum (opium poppy)
Lineage: Eukaryota; Viridiplantae; Streptophyta; Magnoliopsida; Ranunculales; Papaveraceae
Exons: 2
Source: RefSeq, a predicted model, not a curated record
AUGAAAACCCUGAAACCCUAAUCUCCUAAACCCUCCCUAUAAAACUAUAUCAUUCUCCGCAUACUUCCGCCAUUCACUCUCGCACGUUAUCUUUCCAUUCUUCUACUUCAUCAUCUGAUGCUUUAUGCGUAGAUCGGUACUGUUUUCAUCACCCCUAAUUCUAAUUUUUCUGUUAUUUCAUUGCUUUUGAAAUAAAAAAUGAUAAGAUCUAGUGACUCAUCGUGACAUAAACUAAAUCUAGGGCUGUACCAGAGGGUGCAGUGGUGUUUCGUUGCAUUUUCUGUGUAUAAUUUGUGUUCCUAUUAUUUAGUUUGUAAAUUUGCUUUUUGUUAGGGAUUAAACAUCUCUUCUUUGGCUUGAUUUUGUGCCUAAGGAAUGAAUGGGUCCCUAAAAUUCAAAUUCAUCCAUCUGUUCACUUUGUCAGCUGUGUAUUUUCUUGUUACUUGUUGAUCAUUAAAUGAUGGAAAACUUUGUAAGACUACACAUUGACAACAUAUCAGAUCUCUAAGUAUUGUGUCUUUCUAUUGUUUUCCUGAAACAUUUUAUUUUUAAUUUGUAAGAGGUCUCUUCCAAAAACCUACCUUGUCCAUAGUAUCAUUUUAUUGUUGUAGUCAUAGAAUGAUGAACAUCUGUAUUUGUGCAAAAGCAGCAUCUUUCGAGGUGCGAUGAGCUGCGCUUUCCACACGAGAUUUCUGACUAAUUACAACAAUUAAACUUCUUUUCAGUUUUUUGCUAAUUGUAUUAUUGCUAAUUUCUAAGGUAAUGCCCAAAUUGAGAAAGAUGUGUCAAGGUUUAGGCAUUGAUAUUGCUUUAUAAACUUAUAUAGUCCAUGAUGAUAAUCCAAAGGCUUGUUUCUCAAGAACAUUCGCAGUUGCCGCCUAAGAGCUUUCGCCUUUCGCCGGGCUUGAGAGCUGAUGCUGCUUUAUUCCUUCCUUGGAUGUCUGAGACUCCAGUUUUAUACAAAUGUCAUAGCAGGAUUACAAACCUUGCAUAUUACUGGGUUCCUCUCUGUAGAACACUUUGGAGUUGGACACUGUUGAUCCCUUACUAAUACUGGAUUGUCAUAGAACAACAGAAGCUAAAAUGAAAAAUAUUAGUGAUACUAUGUGAAUAUAAUUAGAAUUGUACCUGAAAUAUUUGAUCACUUCAAAUUGAACUGCAGUAUUGUUGCUGGACAUCUGUAAUUGCUCCAUCCUGCCUUUGUAACCACCCGACAAACAUGCUGGUGUUGUAUUUUUACUUGCAAUCUAACAUUGAAUGGUACUUUGGGUAUUGAUUAAGUGAUAUAUCUCUUUUCUCCCAGUACAUUGUCCAGUAGUCCGAGAUGGCGAAUUGAUUCAAAGGCAAAUGUGCUUGGGGGAUACUUUUUUCUUUUAUGUGGCUCCAUUUCCUUUUUGUUGUUUUUCUUUUCAGCAGUAUUAUCCAAGCUUCUUCCACCAUCUGGCAAUCGAAUCGUAUCAGCUGUCCAGAAUGACAGGUGACCUUUUAUUAUUCUAUAGUGAUUUUGUAGUUCCAUUGCUGAAGUGCAUCUAAUGGAAGGUAAUAUAUGAGUUUCCGGCUAGGCAUUUGAUGAAUGGUGGCAUGAUUUUUCCAAAAAGGUUCUUCUUUUACUGUAAUCUUGAGCAAGUGGGAUGUGUUAUUAAUGUGAGAUAUGUCCAGGUAAAUCUGGUACAGUCUCAGUACCAAAACAAAACCCAGUGGGCAUGCUAUUCCUGAGUAUGUGAUAGCACACAUAUUGCUCCUUAUGAGGUGCUACUGUUUCUUGGUGCCGUUGACUCUUCCUGUUCUGGUGGUGGCACUAUAUUUUCAUUGGCUCAGCAUGAAACUCUUCAAACAUGCAUGAAUCUAUCUAUUGAAUGUUACAACACAUGGAAACCCUGAAGAUGCUUUAAUUAACCUUUGAAGUUGUGAAUGCACAACUUUUUAGAGAGCAGCAGAAGUAAUGGUUUUGCGGAGUGUCAUCUUCACUAAACAAGUUGGUGUUGAUGCUCGUCACCAUAUGCUUGAAAGAUUAUCUUCCAUUAUUGCAAAAGAACUUCUUAAUGGGAAGAAAGUUAUAAUUUAAAACAGAUCCUCUAGUGAUGAAUUAAGGAAAACAAGUUGAGUUCAGUGUCCCUCUAAAGUCUAAAUGAUAGAUAUCUCUCAUUUAGACUGUACAUUUCCAAGGCCAGCCUGUUGUUGCGAUAUUGGUGACCCGCGUAAUGCACCAUUGUGGCGCUACUUUACUCUAGGCUAGCCACCCAACUGGCCCGAAGCACGAUUGGCUCUUGGCCAAUAUAACUUACAACUUGUAUCCUUUUGGUGCGAUUGGCCAAUGUGCCUUACUUGGCGCCAUAUUGGCUCUAGGUCAAUGUAUCUUUGAUGUAAUAUGAUUGAAUGUUUGUUUACUUGAGUCUAGAAUUGUCUAGAAUUGAUUGAACUCACAUCUGUAUCUAUAACUAAUUUAGGGUUUAUCAUCGAGCGAUAAACUUGAUCACAAGUAGCAUGAUAUGAUUACAGAUUGAAGUGAUACUUAUUCAAUGUAAUGACAAAAAACCCUAUUACAGAUUGUA